CCACACGACUCUCGGCAACGGAUAUCUCGGCUCUCGCAUCGAUGAAGAACGUAGCGAAAUGCGAUACYUGGUGUGAAUUGCAGAAUCCCGCGAACCAUCGAGUCUUUGAACGCAAGUUGCGCCCGAGGCCACCCGGUCGAGGGCACGCCUGCCUGGGCGUCACGC
RNAcentral lists this ribosomal RNA (165 nucleotides) under Stipa barbata. Its description in RNAcentral is "5.8S ribosomal RNA". It matches the Rfam family "5.8S ribosomal RNA". From Rfam's summary of the family: 5.8S ribosomal RNA (5.8S rRNA) is a component of the large subunit of the eukaryotic ribosome. It is transcribed by RNA polymerase I as part of the 45S precursor that also contains 18S and 28S rRNA. The record is from RNAcentral. Lineage: Eukaryota; Viridiplantae; Streptophyta; Magnoliopsida; Poales; Poaceae. RNAcentral also lists the same sequence under 1 other name.